AGAACGAACGCUGGCGGCAUGCCUAACACAUGCAAGUCGAACGAGACCUUCGGGUCUAGUGGCGCACGGGUGCGUAACGCGUGGGAAUCUGCCCUUGGGUUCGGGAUAACAGUUGGAAACGACUGCUAAUACCGGAUGAUGUCUUCGGACCAAAGAUUUAUCGCCCAAGGAUGAGCCCGCGUAGGAUUAGCUUGUUGGUGAGGUAAGAGCUCACCAAGGCGACGAUCCUUAGCUGGUCUGAGAGGAUGAUCAGCCACACUGGGACUGAGACACGGCCCAGACUCCUACGGGAGGCAGCAGUGGGGAAUAUUGGACAAUGGGCGAAAGCCUGAUCCAGCAAUGCCGCGUGAGUGAUGAAGGCGUUAGGGUUAGUAAAGCUCUUUUACCGGAGUGAUAAUGACAGUACCGGAAGAAGUAACGCCCGACUAACGUCCGCGCCACGCACGCCGAC
This 451-nucleotide ribosomal RNA is filed under the name uncultured soil bacterium. Its description in RNAcentral is "bacterial SSU rRNA". It matches the Rfam family "Bacterial small subunit ribosomal RNA", at positions 26 to 521 of the family's 1533-position model. The record is from RNAcentral.